CAGCAGCCGCGGGAAUACGUAGGGUGCAAGCGUUAAUCGGAAUUACUGGGCGUAAAGCGUGCGCAGGCGGUUAUAUAAGACAGAUGUGAAAUCCCCGGGCUCAACCUGGGAACUGCAUUUGUGACUGUAUAGCUAGAGUACGGCAGAGGGGGAUGGAAUUCCGCGUGUAGCAGUGAAAUGCGUAGAUAUGCGGAGGAACACCGAUGGCGAAGGCAAUCCCCUGGGCCUGUACUGACGCUCAUGCACGAAAGCGUUGGGAGCAAACAGGAUUAGAUACCCCUGUAGUCCCUGUCUCUUAUAC
RNAcentral lists this ribosomal RNA (301 nucleotides) under uncultured bacterium. RNAcentral describes it as "partial 16S ribosomal RNA". It matches the Rfam family "Bacterial small subunit ribosomal RNA", at positions 509 to 807 of the family's 1533-position model. The record is from RNAcentral.